AUGAUAAGAGGUCCAGCCUGCCCAGUGAACUUUUAACGGCCGCGGUACCCUAACCGCGCGAAGGUAGCAUAAUCACUUGGUUCUUUAAAUGGGGACUUGUAUCAACGGCAUCACGAGGGUUUUACUGUCUCCUCUUUUUAAUCAGUGAAAUUGAUCUUCCCGUGAAGAAGCGGGAAUACCCCUAUAAGACGAGAAGACCCCAUGGAGCUUUAAACCAAAUAGCAACUUAACUAUAUAUCCCCCCAUAGUUCCAUAAAGCCAUGCUACAAGGUUUUUGGUUGGGGUGACCGCGGAGUAAAAUGUAACCUCCACGACGGAAAGGCCACAAUCUUUAUUUAAGAACCACAAUUCUAAAAACUAGCACACUAACGUACACUGACCCGACAAUCGAUCAACGGACCAAGUUACCCUGGGGAUAACAGCGCAAUCUACUUCGAGAGCCCAUAUCGACAAGUAGGCUUACGACCUCGAUGUUGGAUCAGGGUAUCCCAGUGGUGCAGCCGCUAACUGAAGGUUCGUUUGUUCAACGAUUAAAACCC
This 539-nucleotide ribosomal RNA is filed under the name Polypedates maculatus (spotted whipping frog). RNAcentral describes it as "partial 16S rRNA". It matches the Rfam family "Bacterial large subunit ribosomal RNA", at positions 1841 to 2596 of the family's 2925-position model. The record is from RNAcentral. Lineage: Eukaryota; Metazoa; Chordata; Amphibia; Anura; Rhacophoridae.